UACAAAUUAUUUGGAUAUUAACUAUGGUC
Molecule: non-coding RNA, 29 nt
Filed under: Mus musculus (house mouse)
Lineage: Eukaryota; Metazoa; Chordata; Mammalia; Rodentia; Muridae
Source: RNAcentral